GACGAACGCUGGCGGCGUGCCUAAUACAUGCCAGUUGAGCGCUGAAGGUUGGUACUUGUACCGACUGGAUGAGCAGCGAACGGGUGAGUAACGCGUGGGGAAUCUGCCUUUGAGCGGGGGACAACAUUUGGAAACGAAUGCUAAUACCGCAUAAAAACUUUAAACACAAGUUUUAAGUUUGAAAGAUGCAAUUGCAUCACUCAAAGAUGAUCCCGCGUUGUAUUAGCUAGUUGGUGAGGUAAAGGCUCACCAAGGCGAUGAUACAUAGCCGACCUGAGAGGGUGAUCGGCCACAUUGGGACUGAGACACGGCCCAAACUCCUACGGGAGGCAGCAGUAGGGAAUCUUCGGCAAUGGACGAAAGUCUGACCGAGCAACGCCGCGUGAGUGAAGAAGGUUGUCGGAUCGUAAAACUCUGUUGGUAGAGAAGAACGUUGGUGAGAGUGGAAAGCUCAUCAAGUGACGGUAACUACCCAGAAAGGGACGGCUAACUACGUG
This 497-nucleotide ribosomal RNA is filed under the name uncultured bacterium. Its description in RNAcentral is "partial 16S ribosomal RNA". It matches the Rfam family "Bacterial small subunit ribosomal RNA", at positions 28 to 507 of the family's 1533-position model. The record is from RNAcentral.